This 66-nucleotide transfer RNA is filed under the name Alosa alosa (allis shad). Its description in RNAcentral is "tRNA-OTHER". Lineage: Eukaryota; Metazoa; Chordata; Actinopteri; Clupeiformes; Clupeidae. The record is from RNAcentral.
GCCGUGGCCUACUGGUUAGGGCUUCGGGCUUCCAACCGAAGGGUUGCUGGUUCGAUUCCCCGAACA